This 82-nucleotide transfer RNA is filed under the name Planococcaceae bacterium Storch 2/2-2. It matches the Rfam family "tRNA". From Rfam's summary of the family: Transfer RNA (tRNA) molecules are approximately 80 nucleotides in length. Their secondary structure includes four short double-helical elements and three loops (D, anti-codon, and T loops). Further hydrogen bonds mediate the characteristic L-shaped molecular structure. tRNAs have two regions of fundamental functional importance: the anti-codon, which is responsible for specific mRNA codon recognition, and the 3' end, to which the tRNAs corresponding amino acid is attached (by aminoacyl-tRNA synthetases). tRNAs cope with the degeneracy of the genetic code in two manners: having more than one tRNA (with a specific anti-codon) for a particular amino acid; and 'wobble' base-pairing, i.e. permitting non-standard base-pairing at the 3rd anti-codon position. The record is from Rfam by way of RNAcentral. Lineage: Bacteria; Bacillati; Bacillota; Bacilli; Caryophanales; Caryophanaceae. RNAcentral also lists the same sequence under 2 other names.
GGUGGGGUAGCGAAGUGGCUAAACGCGACGGACUGUAAAUCCGUUCCUUCUGGGUUCGGGGGUUCGAAUCCCUCCCCCACCA